RNAcentral lists this long non-coding RNA (281 nucleotides) under Ixodes scapularis (black-legged tick). RNAcentral describes it as "uncharacterized LOC121833434". The record is from RNAcentral. Lineage: Eukaryota; Metazoa; Arthropoda; Arachnida; Ixodida; Ixodidae.
AUCUCGGCGUGCUUCGGCUGGCGGGGGACAUCGCCUUUGUUCAUUCGCGCUAUUUUGAAUUGCGUGUUUUUUUAGAAGGUGUUUGGACAAAGCGGAUCGUGUUCACGAAGCGAUGCUUGGCACGUAGCUGCAGACACAAACCAAGAUGUGCCCGCCCGAUAAAGGAGUGAAGCUCUGCUGCUAGCACAGAUGUCGCCAUAGUCCCGAGGCACCGUCAGGCAAGGCGAGAGGCUCUCCUUGUAGCACAGUCGCUACCAUAGUCCCGAUGCCCUUUCCGGGUA